UACGAAGGGGGCUAGCGUUGCUCGGAAUCACUGGGCGUAAAGGGUGCGUAGGCGGGUCUUAAGUCGGGGGUGAAAUCCUGGGGGCUCAACCUCAGAAUUGCCUCCGAUACUGGCAGUCUCGAGUGCGGGAGAGGUGAGUGGAAUUCCCAGUGUAGAGGUGAAAUCGUUAGAUAUUGGGAAGAACACCAGUGGCGAAGGCGGCUCACUGGCCCGUAACUGACGCUGAGGUGGCGAAAAGCGUGG
Molecule: ribosomal RNA, 243 nt
Filed under: uncultured bacterium
Lineage: Bacteria
Description: partial 16S ribosomal RNA
Rfam family: Bacterial small subunit ribosomal RNA
Source: RNAcentral